CCAAGAUGAACUGGCGAACAUUAGGGAGACCUCAACACUGGAUUUCAAACAAUAUGGAGCCAUGUGAGCUCACCACCUCUGAGAUGUCCCCCUUCAUGAGACUCCGGCUCUUUCCACUCCAGACUUCAGUGCAGUGUCAAGGUUGAAGAAGGCCAGGUAGAUCUCUCCUGCUCCAUGGAAGACAAAGAAUCAGCGCAAAGAAAAGGGAUGCUUAUUCGCCAUGUGUGCAUUGGCAAAGAAGCAUGCUGCUUAGGUAAAAGUACCUUUGUCUCCAGUUGCUGUCCAUGCUCGUGCUCCAGUAGUUUCACUCUCUGUUGCAUCAAACAAGAGUGCUACUUAGAUAAAAAAUAGCAAUUAAUUUGUGGUGACUCGUUAUGGAGUAACUUAUACCUCCUUCCUUGCUGGACUUCAUUGUAGCACACAAUCCUGAGUAGCUGCUUUUCAGUUGUCCAUUCUCCGUUAGCUCCCAGACCUGCAGUUGUUAUGGGCAAAUUAUGAUCAAUCGCGGCAUAAGUUUACUUCCAAAGUUGAAUGAACAAGUGUCCAGUUUUUGGCUGUCGCAACAGGUACCUGCUUUGAAUGCUGUUCGCAGGUCGAGAACAUGGGACUGACAGAUGCAUCCAAGCAACCAUCAUUGCUGUCAACACCCACCAGAUGAAACUUCGCUUGGUCUUCCUCACUGCUCACGGUAACUCCAUCCCUGAAGCACAUAAUAUGUGUGGAUCAUACAUACAAGUGAAAAAACUAGUACUGCUUCCUUUCACGAAUUGUUUUCUCGCGAGGCACUUACGAUGUUGGAAGAAGUUUUGCUUUGGACAUGCAAAAUGAGGCAUUGUCAUUCUGGAUUCCAUAGCUUCUGCAAAUGUGAUCUUU
Molecule: long non-coding RNA, 873 nt
Organism: Triticum aestivum (bread wheat)
Lineage: Eukaryota; Viridiplantae; Streptophyta; Magnoliopsida; Poales; Poaceae
Exons: 3
Source: RefSeq, a predicted model, not a curated record